GCGGGCGUAACUCAAUUGGUAGAGUGUCAGCCUUCCAAGCUGAAUGUUGCGAGUUCGAGCCUCGUCGCCCGCUCAA
This 76-nucleotide transfer RNA is filed under the name Balneolaceae bacterium. Its description in RNAcentral is "tRNA-Gly". It matches the Rfam family "tRNA". From Rfam's summary of the family: Transfer RNA (tRNA) molecules are approximately 80 nucleotides in length. Their secondary structure includes four short double-helical elements and three loops (D, anti-codon, and T loops). Lineage: Bacteria; Pseudomonadati; Balneolota; Balneolia; Balneolales; Balneolaceae. The record is from RNAcentral.